RNAcentral lists this ribosomal RNA (424 nucleotides) under Verrucomicrobiota bacterium. RNAcentral describes it as "Verrucomicrobia bacterium partial 16S ribosomal RNA". It matches the Rfam family "Bacterial small subunit ribosomal RNA", at positions 355 to 776 of the family's 1533-position model. The record is from RNAcentral. Lineage: Bacteria; Pseudomonadati; Verrucomicrobiota.
UGAGGAAUAUUGGUCAAUGGACGCAAGUCUGAACCAGCCAAGUAGCGUGCAGGAUGACGGCCCUAUGGGUUGUAAACUGCUUUUAUAUGGGAAUAAAGUGAGGGACGUGUCCCUUAUUGCAUGUACCAUACGAAUAAGGACCGGCUAAUUCCGUGCCAGCAGCCGCGGUAAUACGGAAGGUCCAGGCGUUAUCCGGAUUUAUUGGGUUUAAAGGGAGCGUAGGCUGUUUGUUAAGCGUGUUGUGAAAUGUAAGAGAUCAACUUUUAGAUUGCAGCGCGAACUGGCAGACUUGAGUGCGCACAACGUAGGCGGAAUUCAUGGUGUAGCGGUGAAAUGCUUAGAUAUCAUGACGAACUCCGAUUGCGAAGGCAGCUUACGGGAGCGCAACUGACGCUAAAGCUCGAAGGUGCGGGUAUCGAACAGG